RNAcentral lists this transfer RNA (72 nucleotides) under Cronartium ribicola 11-2. Its description in RNAcentral is "tRNA-Und (NNN) (tRNA-Und-NNN-47-1)". It matches the Rfam family "tRNA". From Rfam's summary of the family: Transfer RNA (tRNA) molecules are approximately 80 nucleotides in length. Their secondary structure includes four short double-helical elements and three loops (D, anti-codon, and T loops). Further hydrogen bonds mediate the characteristic L-shaped molecular structure. tRNAs have two regions of fundamental functional importance: the anti-codon, which is responsible for specific mRNA codon recognition, and the 3' end, to which the tRNAs corresponding amino acid is attached (by aminoacyl-tRNA synthetases). tRNAs cope with the degeneracy of the genetic code in two manners: having more than one tRNA (with a specific anti-codon) for a particular amino acid; and 'wobble' base-pairing, i.e. permitting non-standard base-pairing at the 3rd anti-codon position. The record is from RNAcentral. Lineage: Eukaryota; Fungi; Basidiomycota; Pucciniomycetes; Pucciniales; Coleosporiaceae.
GUGUGCGUAGCUCAGUGGUUAGAGCAUCCUUCCGGAUUGAGGCAGUCGUGGGUUUGAAUCCCAUUGCACACA